CCUAAUACAUGCAAGUCGAGCGGUAGCACAGAGAGCUUGCUCUCGGGUGACGAGCGGCGGACGGGUGAGUAAUGUCUGGGAAACUGCCUGAUGGAGGGGGAUAACUACUGGAAACGGUAGCUAAUACCGCAUAACGUCGCAAGACCAAAGAGGGGGACCUUCGGGCCUCUUGCCAUCAGAUGUGCCCAGAUGGGAUUAGCUAGUAGGUGGGGUAACGGCUCACCUAGGCGACGAUCCCUAGCUGGUCUGAGAGGAUGACCAGCCACACUGGAACUGAGACACGGUCCAGACUCCUACGGGAGGCAGCAGUGGGGAAUAUUGCACAAUGGGCGCAAGCCUGAUGCAGCCAUGCCGCGUGUAUGAAGAAGGCCUUCGGGUUGUAAAGUACUUUCAGCGAGGAGGAAGGCAUUGUGGUUAAUAACCACAGUGAUUGACGUUACUCGCAGAAGAAGCACCGGCUAACUCCGUGCCAGCAGCCGCGGUAAUACGGAGGGUGCAAGCGUUAAUCGGAAUUACUGGGCGUAAAGCGCACGCAGGCGGUCUGUCAAGUCGGAUGUGAAAUCCCCGGGCUC
RNAcentral lists this ribosomal RNA (572 nucleotides) under Enterobacter sp. VF33(2010). RNAcentral's name for it is "bacterial SSU rRNA". It matches the Rfam family "Bacterial small subunit ribosomal RNA", at positions 47 to 610 of the family's 1533-position model. Lineage: Bacteria; Pseudomonadati; Pseudomonadota; Gammaproteobacteria; Enterobacterales; Enterobacteriaceae. The record is from RNAcentral.